UACGAAGGGGGCUAGCGUUGCUCGGAUUGACUGGGCGUAAAGGGCGCGUAGGCGGUUCGUACAGUCAGACGUGAAAUUCCUGGGCUCAACCUGGGGGCUGCGUUUGAUACGUGCGGACUUGAGUGCGGAAGAGGGUCGUGGAAUUCCCAGUGUAGAGGUGAAAUUCGUAGAUAUUGGGAAGAACACCGGUGGCGAAGGCGGCGACCUGGUCCGAUGCUGAUGCUGAGGCGCGAAAGCGUGGGGAGCGAACAGG
This 253-nucleotide ribosomal RNA is filed under the name uncultured bacterium. RNAcentral's name for it is "partial 16S ribosomal RNA". It matches the Rfam family "Bacterial small subunit ribosomal RNA", at positions 524 to 776 of the family's 1533-position model. The record is from RNAcentral.